AAACGGUUGACUCCUGUCAAUGGAUCGAUUCCUGGUCUAGAUUGUACUGGAAUCUAAACCCAAGCUUAACCCGGCUAAGUAGGCUAGAACAUCGGUGAAUCCAGAAAAGAUCUUAGCUUUAGCUUCGGCCGAAAGUCAUCUCUCAAUCCCGCCUACUGUGAUCGUUUCGGUGAUCAAAUAAAAAAAAUCACAAUCUAAUCUUCAUCCUCAUUUUCAGAUUCUCCACACCUAAAAAGGGGAGAAAAAGAAAAGAAUCUUGCUGUGCUGAGGUAUUAUGGCAAAUCAGUACUCCAAUGAUGGAUCUAGUACAAGCAACAUAUCAGGAGAAAGUUCAGAUGCAGCAAUAGAGCUCAAUAUCAAGACUCUUGAUUCUCAGAUUUACAAUUUUCAGGUGGAUAAAAAUACGCUAGUUUCAGCAUUCAAGGAGAAAAUAGCUAAGGAUAUUGGUGUUCCAGUAGGUCAGCAAAGACUGAUUUUCCGGGGAAAGGUCUUGAAGGAUGAACAUCUCCUUUCUGAAUAUCAAGUGGAGAAUGGGCAUACCUUGCACUUGGUUGCAAGGCAGCCAGCACAGUUGCAACCUUCAACUGAUGCAAGUUCUGGUGACACAAAUGCAAAUAAUGGUAACCGAGGUAAUGAUCCUAGUGCUGGCAUCCCCCAAAAUCGUGUUGGGCAAAUAUCACACAGUGUAGUUCUUGGGACCUUUAAUGUUGGGGAGCAAGGUGAAGGCAUUUUUCCAGACCUCAGUCGGGUUAUUGGCGCGGUGCUGAACUCUUUUGGCAUUGGGGGUCAGACUGCAAUUAAUGGCAUUGGUGGAAUGCAGUCCUCUAACAUGUCAAAUGUUAGUGGUCAGACUCGAGGAAAUGAAACAGUAGAUGGCUUACGAAGUAAUGUUAGUGGUCAGAGUCAAGCAGGAAAUCAAACACAUUCUGGGCAGGCAUUUCCUGGUCAGCC
Molecule: unclassified non-coding RNA, 951 nt
Filed under: Hevea brasiliensis (rubber tree)
Lineage: Eukaryota; Viridiplantae; Streptophyta; Magnoliopsida; Malpighiales; Euphorbiaceae
Source: RNAcentral